AAUCGUUUAAUUAAUCAACGAAA
Molecule: small nuclear RNA, 23 nt
Filed under: Arabidopsis thaliana (thale cress)
Lineage: Eukaryota; Viridiplantae; Streptophyta; Magnoliopsida; Brassicales; Brassicaceae
Description: snRNA_14260
Source: RNAcentral